Pelobates cultripes (western spadefoot toad) is the source of this 423-nucleotide non-coding RNA. NCBI's taxonomy places the organism in Eukaryota, Metazoa, Chordata, Amphibia, Anura, Pelobatidae. The record is from the annotation of a GenBank genome assembly.
UUUUUGUUAAAUGAAAGCCGUUUCCCCUGAAUAAAAUGAUAUAUAAUAAGUGUGGGUGCACAUAAUAUGAAAGAGGUGAAUUACGCUUGAGCAGACAUAUAGCGCAAAUUCAAGUUUUUCUUUAAGUUUUGUUUUGAUCACAACGUGUACAUUUGGCUCAGUCCUUAAGGUGUUAAAAUACAUAUGUGUUUCUUGCCCUGUGCUCUAGCCGCAUGUUUAGUGCGCCCUCAGUUCUAAAGUAUUUGACCUUUUCUAUAACAUGUUUUAUUAUAUAGUCAAAGUUGUAUUUGUAGAGCUUACACUUUGUUUAGAUGGUGGACCUGUAAAUUGCAAUUUCAGCAGUGGUAAUUGUAUCUCAUACUUAGUGAUGUUGAUGAAUAAUCCUAAACUAAGAUUGUGAAAAAGGAAAAAAGUUAAGAAUGC